Molecule: microRNA, 20 nt
Filed under: Macaca mulatta (Rhesus monkey)
Lineage: Eukaryota; Metazoa; Chordata; Mammalia; Primates; Cercopithecidae
Description: mml-miR-1245-5p
Source: miRBase by way of RNAcentral
GUAGGCCUUUAGAUCAUCUA